RNAcentral lists this long non-coding RNA (2337 nucleotides) under Olea europaea subsp. europaea. The record is from RNAcentral. Lineage: Eukaryota; Viridiplantae; Streptophyta; Magnoliopsida; Lamiales; Oleaceae.
CUGCAUUUUUUUUUUUGUGGUACACUGAGCAUUGGUCUCAAAUAAGCUAUUAAGACAUCCUGAUUCCGUUGUACAAGUAGCAGUUGUUUCUUGUCUUAGCAAAAUAUUUCGCAUUACAGCAUCUGAUCUCCCAUUUUGUAAUGAAUUAAUGCAAGAUAUCUUUUUAGUGAUUAUAUCAUCAUUUGCAUCUCUCAUGGGCAUCUCCAUCAAUUCGUAUGCUAUAGUAGUCUGGCUACUAGAUACUGUGGCUAAUGUGAAGUACUUUCUUAUCAUGUUGGACAUAGAUUGUGAGCAGAUGAUAAUUGAUAUGUUCCAACACUUUCUUUUAGCUUUAACAUGAACUCAUUUAGGGAAUGUCUUCACUUCCACAGAGAUUAUUAUGCCCCUUACAUUGGAAGAAAUUGACAAUAGCCUAAUAAACUUGAUUACCCUUCUUUUGGAUUGUGCUCAAAAUAAAAAUAAGAAAGCUUCUCCUAGUGCAUUUAAUGCAGUGGAAAGACUUUUUUGAGAAGUGUGCUGACAAGAUCAAACGCUACUUUUCACGAGCUCUAAAAUAUUUAGGGGUUUUUUUAGAUAAUUAUAGUGCGGUUAUUUCUUCCAUCUUCACAGAAGUUGAGAGUUGUGAACAGUGUAUUGUGUCUUCUAUUUUGACCACAUCUAUAAUGGAUAAACUUAACAUUAACAUAAUUGAGAAAGUACCUAGAGCAAUGCCAUCGAGGUCAAGCAUUUCAGAUGUCCUGGAUCUCAUGCCUACUAUGAUGCAUGACUUUCACGUUGACUUUGUUUUAGUUCUUCCUCAAUUACAUGAGAUUUCAAAGGUUGCCACAUUGUUCUUUAAGGUCAUUACUCGAUUGCACUCUUCCUAUUGACGUUAGGAUGUUGCCCACUAAUUAUCGACACGUUGUGCUAGCUCAUCAUUAUGUUGAAAUAUUCCUAAAUUUCAUACCAAGUUAAACGGUCAAAUCAUUUCCAAUCAUGAAAGUUUUCGAUGUGCAAUAUAAAUUAGAGUAUUCGUAUAAAGGUUUUUUAUCUGACUGGACAUCUCACUUAAAUGAAAGUUAUAUCUUCAAUAUAGAAGAAUUGUUUCCUAAUCAAGGCAUAUUCGAGCUUUCGAUGUUGUAAUCUUUUGUCUCUACAGGCUAGUCUCCAAUGCUAGCUUCUUGUGCUUCUCAAUAUGCACAACCAUGGGAAGAUUUUGGAGAUGGGCUACAUGAGUGUUUGUUAUUUGGAGUCCAAUAUCAAUACUUGAUUAAAAGGAGAGAUUGCCCUCCUUGGUUGAAUCAUAUUCCUGAGGAUAAGUUUUCAUUUACAUUGUUAUCAACCGUUGAGUUUCGAUACUUGGUUCUUCAGAAGGAUCGUACACUGUGGUUUGAGUUCAGAAACUUAACUUGGACAUUGACAAUAGCUCUUUCAUGAUUUAUCCUCAAGUUUUUCUUCCACCCUAGGAGAAUUGAUAAGGGCAUCACCCUAGUUGGCUAUCUUAUUUUGUUUUGGACUAUUUAACUUUUGCUUUAUUAAUUGGGUUUGUAUUAUUGGCUGGCCCAAGCCCCAUAACCAUUAGGUUUAUUUUUAUUAUUUAUAUGCUUGUAUAGAACCUGGUGUUAAUCCAAAAAUAAACCCAACUAAUAAAGCAAAAGUUAAAAGAGUAAUAUGUCGUGGGAUCAUGCAAACAUUAAAGUUGGGAAUUCGAUUUGAAUUUUCACUUUAAGGUUCACUUUUACUUGUCUGAUUCUGAAAAUUUCCAUGUUAGAUCUUCUUUCAUUUUCUUUCUUAUUGUCUGCUCAGAAAAAAAUUUCAUUCAAGGUCACUGCAGAUUUGAGUAAACCUGCAAACAGGGACCAUACCAUUUUGAUGAAUGGAAGCACAUAGCAAUCAUUUGUAUCCUCUGUCUCCCUUUAUCUUUCUAUAUCCUUCCCUAUAUCCAAGACCUUUGCAGGUAGCCAUUAUUUUGUAAAUGAUAGAAUUCAAUUUGUACGAACAAAUUAGCACCAGAGUCGAGCCUUCCAAUGAGUUUAGCUGUCCAUUUCUUAAUACCAUUUCUCUUGCAGAGAUUCAUGUUUACAACAACCUGGUGCUCCAGCCACAAAGGUUUUGUGUCCAACGGAAGUGGUUACCCCGGAUGAGCUCAGGGACAAUGAAGAUUAUGGGGACGUAUUAGAAGACAUGAGAACAAAAUGUGAGAUAAAUACAUUUAAGCUGCCUUUGAACCUCUAUCAGUUAUUUGUUGUUUUUUAUUUGAUUGACUAGUUAAUCUUCCUACAUAUGUAUUGAUUCUUAUAUGCUAUUUUGAUGUAUUACAGCCUUUUCUAGUUCGACAUAAUGAUCAGCAGAGUUGCC